GACGAACGCUGGCGGCGUGCUUAACACAUGCAAGUCGAACGGAAAGGCCCCCUUGUGGGGUACUCGAGUGGCGAACGGGUGAGUAACACGUGAGUAACCUGCCCUUGACUUUGGGAUAACUUCAGGAAACUGGGGCUAAUACCGGAUAGGAGCUCCUGCUGCAUGGUGGGGGUUGGAAAGUUUCGGCGGUUGGGGAUGGGCUCGCGGCUUAUCAGCUUGUUGGUGGGGUAGUGGCUCACCAAGGCUUUGACGGGUAGCCGGCCUGAGAGGGUGACCGGCCACAUUGGGACUGAGAUACGGCCCAGACUCCUACGGGAGGCAGCAGUGGGGAAUAUUGCACAAUGGGCGGAAGCCUGAUGCAGCAACGCCGCGUGCGGGAUGACGGCCUUCGGGUUGUAAACCGCUUUCGCCUGUGACGAAGCGUGAGUGACGGUAAUGGGUAAAGAAGCACCGGCUAACUACGUG
Molecule: ribosomal RNA, 465 nt
Filed under: uncultured bacterium
Lineage: Bacteria
Description: partial 16S ribosomal RNA
Rfam family: Bacterial small subunit ribosomal RNA
Source: RNAcentral